Pelobates cultripes (western spadefoot toad) is the source of this 351-nucleotide non-coding RNA. The record is from the annotation of a GenBank genome assembly. Lineage: Eukaryota; Metazoa; Chordata; Amphibia; Anura; Pelobatidae.
GUGGCAACUGACAUUUAAUGUGGAUAAGUGCAAGAUAAUGAAUCUUGGACGUAAAAACCCAAGGGCAGAGUACAGAAUAUUUGAUAGAGUUCUAACCUCAACAUAUGAGGAAAGGGAUUUAGGGGUGUUUAUUUCUGAUGACUUAAAGGUAGGCAGACAAUGUAAUAGAGCAGCAGGAAAUGCUAGCAGAAUGCUUGGUUGUAUAGGGAGAGGUAUUAGCAGUAGAAAGAGGGAAGUGCUCAUGCCAUUGUACAGAACACUGGUGAGACCUCACUUGGAGUAUUGUACACAGUACUGGAGACCGUAUCUUCAGAAGGAUAUUGAUACCUUAGAGAGGGUUCAAAGAAGGGC